UAUCAGCACCCCGAGUGGUCGGGACGAUUAUUGGGCCUAAAGCAUCCGUAACCGGCCUUACAAGUCCUCCGUUAAAUCCAGCUGCUUAACAGAUGGGCUGCGGAGGAUACUAUAAGACUAGGAGGCAGGAGAGGCAAGCGGUACUCAGUGGGUAGGGGUAAAAUCCGUUGAUCCAUUGAAGACCACCAGUGGCGAAGGCGGCUUGCCAGAAUGCGCUCGACGGUGAGGGAUGAAAGCUGGGGGAGCAAACCGG
This 253-nucleotide ribosomal RNA is filed under the name uncultured bacterium. RNAcentral describes it as "partial 16S ribosomal RNA". It matches the Rfam family "Archaeal small subunit ribosomal RNA", at positions 474 to 727 of the family's 1478-position model. The record is from RNAcentral.